This 359-nucleotide long non-coding RNA is filed under the name Nicotiana benthamiana. RNAcentral's name for it is "long non-coding RNA (NBEN_LNC006412)". The record is from RNAcentral. Lineage: Eukaryota; Viridiplantae; Streptophyta; Magnoliopsida; Solanales; Solanaceae.
UCUGUUGCUUGAAGUCAAUGUGCAGGUUGCUGAUUGCUGAUCAGGCUUCUCCUUCUGUUUCCCAGUUCCUACAGCUUUUGGACAGUUUGUUACCACUGUUUCAUUCAAUUCCUCAGUUUCAGGAACCUGAUGAGUUGCCAAUUGUUUCUUUGGAGUCUACCUCUUAGCUAUUCUGCAUUUCUGUUUCAGCUGGACAGGUUUAGGCUUGUUACUAUCCUCCUUUGUGCUCUCUUCCUUAUACCAACAGUCAAUCGAAUUGCGCCCAAAUCUGAUACAGUUUUCACAGAAUUUUGGUUUCCAUUCAUAUUCAAUAUGUUGCACAAUGAGACCUCUGUUGGUCUGCAGUUCCAGACUGUCUG